This 460-nucleotide ribosomal RNA is filed under the name uncultured bacterium. RNAcentral describes it as "partial 16S ribosomal RNA". It matches the Rfam family "Bacterial small subunit ribosomal RNA", at positions 338 to 795 of the family's 1533-position model. The record is from RNAcentral.
CCUACGGGAGGCAGCAGUGAGGAAUAUUGGUCAAUGGGCGCGAGCCUGAACCAGCCAAGUAGCGUGAAGGAUGACUGCCCUACGGGUUGUAAACUUCUUUUAUAAAGGAAUAAAGUGAGGCACGUGUGCCUUUUUGUAUGUACUUUAUGAAUAAGGAUCGGCUAACUCCGUGCCAUCAGCCGCGGUAAUACGGAGGAUCCGAGCGUUAUCCGGAUUUAUUGGGUUUAAAGGGAGCGUAGAUGGGUUGUUAAGUCAGUUGUGAAAGUUUGCGGCUCAACCGUAAAAUUGCAAUUGAUACUGGCAGUCUUGAGUACAGUUGAGGUAGGCAGAAUUCGUGGUGUAGCGGUGAAAUGCUUAGAUAUCACGAAGAACUCCGAUUGCGAAGGCAGCUUACUAAACUGCCACUGACAUUGAUGCUCGAAAGUGUGGGUAUCAAACAGGAUUAGAUACCCGAGUAGUC